CAGAUCCUGAUCCACAAGUGCACCAGUCAUAUAGUAUUAGUACAAACCCUGUGAUACAUCUAAUUCGGUAGGUCACUUUCAAAGAACAGAGUACUUGAAUGCAGCUACGACAAUUGGAACAAUACCGUCGUUAUCUGUGAAAUAGAUAUUUCGAACUGGUCAACUAAAUCAUGAUGGCGUCCUUAACGGAUUCGAAGGGUCGACUUGAAUUUCUCCAUCUGGAUCUUUUGUCCAAUAGCUUUCUUGUAAGCAUCAAUCCUAAUCUGAAACUAGAGCCCAAAAUUUGAAAAAAAUGGUAAAAAAAUAGAGAGUAGCCCUAUUCCAGGGCUUCUAGAGAAAAAUAAUGAGGGGUGUCACGGGGUAUGACUAUAAAGAUCUUGUAGAGGAGAAACAGGCGCUUCUUUUGCGUAAGAUAUCGAAGGGCGCUAUGUUCAAAAACUAGAGCCACAAAAUUUGAAAAAAAAUGGUAAAAAAAUAGGGGCGUCGGCCUAUUCCGGGGCUUCUAGAGAAAAAUAAUGAGGGGUGUCACGGGGUAUGACUAUAUAGGUCUUGUAGAAGAGAAACAGGCGCUUCUUUUGCGCAAGGUAUCGAAGGACGCUAUGUUCAAAAAUCUGAAACUAGAGCCCAAAAUUUGAAAAAAAAUAUGUAAAAAAAUGGGGCAUCCUAUUCCAGGGCUUCUAGAGAAAAAUAAUGAGGGGUGUCACGGGAUAUGACUAUAUAGGUCUUGUAGAGAAGAAACAGGCGCUUCUUUUGCGCAAGGUAUCAAAGGGCGCUAUGUUCAAAAAUCUGAAACUAGAGCUCAAAAUUUGAAAAAAAAGGUAAAAAAUAGGGGAGUCGGCCUAUUCCAGGGCUUCUAGAGAAAAAAUAAUGAGGGGUGUCACGGGGUAUGACUAUAUAGGUCUUGUAGAAGAAAACAGGCGCUUCUUUUGCGCAAGGUAUCAAAGGGCGCUAUGUUCAAAAAUCUGAAACUAGAGCUCAAAAUUUGAAAAAAAUGGUAAAAAAAAAAGGGGGUCGGCCUAUUCCAGGGCUUCUAGAGAAAAAUAAUGAGGGGUGUCACGGGGUAUGACUAUAUAGGUCUUGUAGAGAGAAACAGGCGCUUCUUUUGCGCAAGGUAUCAAAGGGCGCUAUGUUCAAAAAUCUGAAACUAGAGCCCAAAAUUUGAAAAAAAAAUGGUAAAAAAAUAGGGGGGGGGGGGGUCGCCUAUUCCAGGGCUUCUAGAGAAAAAUAAUGAAGGGUGUCACGGGGUAUGACUAUAUAGGUCUUGUAGAAGAGAAACAGGCGCUUCUUUUGCGCAAGGUAUGAAAGGGCGCUAUGUUCAAAAAUCUGAAACUAGAGCUCAAAAUUUGAAAAAAAAUGGUAAAAAAUAGGGGG
Molecule: long non-coding RNA, 1371 nt
Filed under: Mytilus galloprovincialis (Mediterranean mussel)
Lineage: Eukaryota; Metazoa; Mollusca; Bivalvia; Mytilida; Mytilidae
Source: RNAcentral